CCUACGGGAGGCAGCAGUGGGGAAUAUUAGACAAUGGGCGAAAGCCUGAUCCAGCCAUGCCGCGUGUGUGAAGAAGGCCUUCGGGUUGUAAAGCACUUUCAGUGGGGAAGAAAGCCUUGGGGCUAAUACCCUCGAGGAAGGACAUCACCCACAGAAGAAGCACCGGCUAACUCCGUGCCAGCAGCCGCGGUAAUACGGAGGGUGCGAGCGUUAAUCGGAAUUACUGGGCGUAAAGCGCGCGUAGGCGGUCUGAUAAGCCGGUUGUGAAAGCCCCGGGCUCAACCUGGGAACGGCAUCCGGAACUGUCAGGCUAGAGUGCAGGAGAGGAAGGUAGAAUUCCCGGUGUAGCGGUGAAAUGCGUAGAGAUCGGGAGGAAUACCAGUGGCGAAGGCGGCCUUCUGGACUGACACUGACGCUGAGGUGCGAAAGCGUGGGUAGCAAACAGGAUUAGAUACCCGUGUAGUC
Molecule: ribosomal RNA, 465 nt
Filed under: Vreelandella stevensii
Lineage: Bacteria; Pseudomonadati; Pseudomonadota; Gammaproteobacteria; Oceanospirillales; Halomonadaceae
Description: partial 16S ribosomal RNA
Rfam family: Bacterial small subunit ribosomal RNA
Source: RNAcentral